CAGUGACCCUUAACAACAACAACAAAAAUGGCGGCCACAAGCAGCAGCACUGAUAUUGUUCCAUCUUAUGCUGUCUGGAUGCUGCAGUCACAAUCUCCAGUACACCUGAAAUGUUGCCCAUAUUACCUUACACCUGCCGUCCCUCUUCAUCUAGUAUUCUCCUCCUGAAGUGAGAAACAAGAUGGCCAUUGCAAGACACUUCCUAGAUUACUGUGAGAAAGCCAAUAAAAGAAUUUAUGCCAGCAAUUGGUGUGGUUUACACACAUUCUAGGCUCCUCUACAUAGCAACUGACUGGGUAAAUAUUGAAGUUAUUGUUCAAUAAAACUGUAAAAGAAUUUCAGUACAGACAGAUUAGACUUUCAAGACUACAUUAUUUUGUUGCAUAUAUAUAUAUCCCAUUUUGUAUGUCUAUUUAUGUCAGCUGGAGACAAGUAAAAUCGAACGUAGAUCUACGUUCGGAAUGCUACACGAGCGAAAGUAGAUCUACGUUUGGACAGUUUAAGGGUUAAAUAUUAUAU
This is a non-coding RNA of Cherax quadricarinatus, 519 nucleotides long. Lineage: Eukaryota; Metazoa; Arthropoda; Malacostraca; Decapoda; Parastacidae. The record is from RefSeq and is a predicted model, not a curated record.